CACCAUUGCUCUAAUUCAUGCAAGCCCAUUUUUAGGUAUUCUCCAUUGCUAACUGAACAACACUCUCGGCGAAGCAACAAACUGCCAGAAGAUAAACUUUACAAGUCAAGCUACGUCAUAACCAAACAUAGAUGGGACCUGGAGAUCAUUAAGGCUCAGUCAAGAAACAGGAAAAGACAAAUUUAAGCUUGAGCUGGAAAUCUUCGAAAGUGCAUUGUUUUACAUGGUUCUCUGCCAUAAAAGUCAAGGUAUGUUCAAGCUUGUUGACAAUGUUCUGCCACUGUACAUAUGAUGCUUGUUGCUUGGCAAUUGUGGUCAAGUGGAUGCUUUUAGUCACAUCUCGCAAGGUUUUGGCUCUUGUUGGUCUUGGUGCCUGUUACAUCUCACAUAUAACACAUUAUUAACAUACGCGAUUAGCAAAACUUUAAGAUGAGUUCCAUAUUAACUUGAUGAAUGAUGUACUAACAUGGAUACAGAGAUUUAGUAAU
This 488-nucleotide non-coding RNA is filed under the name Arabidopsis thaliana (thale cress). The record is from RNAcentral. Lineage: Eukaryota; Viridiplantae; Streptophyta; Magnoliopsida; Brassicales; Brassicaceae.